CAUAAAAUAGCUUAACUAAAGCAUCUUGCUUACACCAAGAAAACACCUGUUAAAACUAGGUUUUUAUGA
This 69-nucleotide transfer RNA is filed under the name Gastrotheca albolineata (white-lined treefrog). RNAcentral describes it as "partial tRNA-Val". It matches the Rfam family "tRNA". From Rfam's summary of the family: Transfer RNA (tRNA) molecules are approximately 80 nucleotides in length. Lineage: Eukaryota; Metazoa; Chordata; Amphibia; Anura; Hemiphractidae. The record is from RNAcentral.